GGCGUGCCUAAUACAUGCAAGUCGAACGAACUCUGGUAUUGAUUGGUGCUUGCAUCAUGAUUUACAUUUGAGUGAGUGGCGAACUGGUGAGUAACACGUGGGAAACCUGCCCAGAAGCGGGGGAUAACACCUGGAAACAGAUGCUAAUACCGCAUAACAACUUGGACCGCAUGGUCCGAGUUUGAAAGAUGGCUUCGGCUAUCACUUUUGGAUGGUCCCGCGGCGUAUUAGCUAGAUGGUGAGGUAACGGCUCACCAUGGCAAUGAUACGUAGCCGACCUGAGAGGGUAAUCGGCCACAUUGGGACUGAGACACGGCCCAAACUCCUACGGGAGGCAGCAGUAGGGAAUCUUCCACAAUGGACGAAAGUCUGAUGGAGCAACGCCGCGUGAGUGAAGAAGGGUUUCGGCUCGUAAAACUCUGUUGUUAAAGAAGAACAUAUCUGAGAGUAACUGUUCAGGUAUUGACGGUAUUUAACCAGAAAGCCACGGCUAACUACGUGCCAGCAGCCGCGGUAAUACGUAGGUGGCAAGCGUUGUCCGGAUUUAUUGGGCGUAAAGCGAGCGCAGGCGGUUUUUUAAGUCUGAUGUGAAAGCCUUCGGCUCAACCGAAGAAGUGCAUCGGAAACUGGGAAACUUGAGUGCAGAAGAGGACAGUGGAACUCCAUGUGUAGCGGUGAAAUGCGUAGAUAUAUGGAAGAACACCAGUGGCGAAGGCGGCUGUCUGGUCUGUAACUGACGCUGAGGCUCGAAAGUAUGGGUAGCAAACAGGAUUAGAUACCCUGGUAGUCCAUACCGUAAACGAUGAAUGCUAAGUGUUGGAGGGUUUCCGCCCUUCAGUGCUGCAGCUAACGCAUUAAGCAUUCCGCCUGGGGAGUACGGCCGCAAGGCUGAAACUCAAAGGAAUUGACGGGGGCCCGCACAAGCGGUGGAGCAUGUGGUUUAAUUCGAAGCUACGCGAAGAACCUUACCAGGUCUUGACAUACUAUGCAAAUCUAAGAGAUUAGACGUUCCCUUCGGGGACAUGGAUACAGGUGGUGCAUGGUUGUCGUCAGCUCGUGUCGUGAGAUGUUGGGUUAAGUCCCGCAACGAGCGCAACCCUUAUUAUCAGUUGCCAGCAUUAAGUUGGGCACUCUGGUGAGACUGCCGGUGACAAACCGGAGGAAGGUGGGGAUGACGUCAAAUCAUCAUGCCCCUUAUGACCUGGGCUACACACGUGCUACAAUGGAUGGUACAACGAGUUGCGAACUCGCGAGAGUAAGCUAAUCUCUUAAAGCCAUUCUCAGUUCGGAUUGUAGGCUGCAACUCGCCUACAUGAAGUCGGAAUCGCUAGUAAUCGCGGAUCAGCAUGCCGCGGUGAAUACGUUCCCGGGCCUUGUACACACCGCCCGUCACACCAUGAGAGUUUGUAACACCCAAAGUCGGUGGGGUAACCUUUUAGGAACCAGCCGCCUAAG
Molecule: ribosomal RNA, 1455 nt
Filed under: Lactiplantibacillus plantarum
Lineage: Bacteria; Bacillati; Bacillota; Bacilli; Lactobacillales; Lactobacillaceae
Description: Lactobacillus plantarum 16S ribosomal RNA
Rfam family: Bacterial small subunit ribosomal RNA
Source: RNAcentral